CAUGGUUCCUAGUUUAGGGAGGAUUCUUAGGAACUGGACAUUAUGAACUGACACAUGAUUUCAAAACACAUUAUUUACACAUUCACUGUGCAGCAGAUAUUGAGUAGUACACUGACUAAUCACAUAUUUCUCUACAGUUGUACCUGCACAUAUGUUUUAGUAGAAAAGGCCCAGUAACCAUAUUUCACCAUAUGUUCCCAUCAGUAAAACACUGUAACACUGCGCAGUCAAUUAGAGCACAAAGGAGAUGGAGUUUGGCAUUAGACUAGAGUCAUGGUUUUUUAAAGAAAGCUGCACUAAUGGUAUGUGAAGAGUAGCGUGUAACCUUGUUAUAUAAUCACUUUUAUCUGCGGUCACAGUCCAUCUUUCAGCUGACAAUGCUCAAGGACCUAGGCUGAUAUGUGAUUUAAAGGUCCCAUAUUGUAAAAAGUGAGAUUUCCAUGCUUCUUUUUUUUAAAUUAUAAAGCAGGUCGAGGUGUUAUAUAAAUACUGUGAAAGUAUCGUAUUCAUAAACUGUGCCUUCAAACGAGCUGUCAGAACUUCCGUAAGGUUAUCAUGUCAUAACUAUAUGAUAUAUAGGGGAAAGUGCCACUACAGUGCCGUUACAGUCAUUCCCCGGCUGCAAUGAUAGUGCAGAAACUGAGGCUGAGUUCCAAAUCGCAUACUUUUUCUUUUUAAUUUUAGUAUGUACUGCAUCUGCCCUCUCUAAGUAUGUACGGUUGCAUGCAGUAUGCAUACAACUGGGACAUACUACUUCUUCAAAACAAUGCACCUUGAACUUUGACCCUUUUGCUCAUAAAAGCUGCGGAAAGGAUUGUGGGUCAGAAUAGCCAGAAAAGCAUGCUGGCUUGCAUAGUGCAAGAUCUGAACGGAUGCAGUAGGACAUCCUUGUAUAUUUGGCAUACUGCAUUUGACAUACUAUGUAUUGGGACAUACUAUUUUUCUGGCAUACUAAAUAGUAUGGUAGUAUGGCUAUUGGAACACAGAGUUACUUUGCAUCUCCA
Long non-coding RNA from Sander lucioperca (pikeperch), 1004 nucleotides. RefSeq lists it as uncharacterized. The transcript has 3 exons. Lineage: Eukaryota; Metazoa; Chordata; Actinopteri; Perciformes; Percidae. The record is from RefSeq and is a predicted model, not a curated record.